This 199-nucleotide ribosomal RNA is filed under the name uncultured bacterium. RNAcentral describes it as "partial 16S ribosomal RNA". It matches the Rfam family "Bacterial small subunit ribosomal RNA", at positions 328 to 539 of the family's 1533-position model. The record is from RNAcentral.
ACGCUCGACACCUACGGGAGACAGCAGUGGGGGAUAUUGCGCAAUGGGGGAAACCCUGACGCAGCAACGCCGCGUGAAGGACGAAGGUUUUCGGAUUGUAAACUUCUUUUGUCAGGGACGAAGAAAUGACGGUACCUGACGAAUAAGCUCCGGCUAACUACGUGCCACAGCCGCGGUAAUCUGAGCGGGCUGGCAAGGC